Molecule: ribosomal RNA, 397 nt
Filed under: uncultured bacterium
Lineage: Bacteria
Description: partial 16S ribosomal RNA
Rfam family: Bacterial small subunit ribosomal RNA
Source: RNAcentral
AUACGUAGGGGGCGAGCGUUGUCCGGAAUGAUUGGGCGUAAAGGGCGCGUAGGCGGCCCGGUAAGUCUGGAGUGAAAGUCCUGCUUUUAAGGUGGGAAUUGCUUUGGAUACUGCUGGGCUUGAGUGCAGGAGAGGUUAUCGGAAUUCCCGGUGUAGCGGUGAAAUGCGUAGAGAUCGGGAGGAACACCAGUGGCGAAGGCGGGUAACUGGACUGCAACUGACGCUGAGGCGCGAAAGUGUGGGGAGCAAACAGGAUUAGAUACCCUGGUAGUCCACACUGUAAACGAUGAAUGCUAGGUGUAAGAGGUAUCGACCCCUUUUGUGCCGGAGUUAACACAAUAAGCAUUCCGCCUGGGGAGUACGGCCGCAAGGUUGAAACUCAAAUGAAUUGACGGGG